AUACGGAGGAUCCGAGCGUUAUCCGGAUUUAUUGGGUUUAAAGGGUGCGCAGGCGGCCAUUUAAGUCAGCGGUUAAAUCGUGGGGCUCAACCCCAUUCUGCCGUUGAUACUGGGUGGCUUGAUUGCGGUCGAGGUUGGCGGAAUUCGUUGUGUAGCAGUGAAAUGCAUAGAUAUGACGAAGAACACCGAUUGCGUAGGCAGCUGACCAGAUCGCAAAUGACGCUCAUGCACGAAAGUGCGGGGAUCGAACAGGAUUAGAUACCCUGGUAGUCCGCACAGUAAACGAUGAAUACUUGUUUUCGGCGAUAUAAUGUCGGAGGCAAAGCGAAAGCGAUAAGUAUUCCACCUGGGGAGUACGCCGGCAACGGUGAAACUCAAAUGAAUUGGCGGGG
RNAcentral lists this ribosomal RNA (392 nucleotides) under uncultured bacterium. RNAcentral's name for it is "partial 16S ribosomal RNA". It matches the Rfam family "Bacterial small subunit ribosomal RNA", at positions 523 to 918 of the family's 1533-position model. The record is from RNAcentral.